UACAGAGGUGGCAAGCGUUGUUCGGAAUUACUGGGCGUAAAGGGUGCGUAGGCGGUCGGGUAAGUCUGGUGUGAAAUCUUCGAGCUUAACUCGGAAACUGCAUUGGAUACUAUUCGGCUAGAGAGUUGGAGGGGGGAUUGGAAUACUUGGUGUAGCAGUGAAAUGCGUAGAUAUCAAGUGGAACACCAGUGGCGAAGGCGAAUCCCUGGACAACUUCUGACGCUGAGGUGCGAAAGCCAGGGGAGCGAACGGG
This 253-nucleotide ribosomal RNA is filed under the name uncultured bacterium. Its description in RNAcentral is "partial 16S ribosomal RNA". It matches the Rfam family "Bacterial small subunit ribosomal RNA", at positions 524 to 776 of the family's 1533-position model. The record is from RNAcentral.